Molecule: non-coding RNA, 1239 nt
Organism: Equus caballus (horse)
Lineage: Eukaryota; Metazoa; Chordata; Mammalia; Perissodactyla; Equidae
Source: RefSeq, a predicted model, not a curated record
UGGAGGAGGCGGCCCUGAAUCAAGGAUGGAGAGGAGGUCCUGGAGGAGGCGGCCCUGAAUCAAGGAUGGAGAGGAGGGCUUCCUGGAGGAGGCGGCCGGACCUGCUCCCAAAAGGGGCCCAGCCGCCCCCCGGUCUGGGGUCCCCGGACACCCCAGGGGACGGGGCUUUGGGGGGACCCACGUGACCCCCGCAUGGUCCCACGGACGCAGCUGGGAGAAGCCGCCCCGUGCAGGGUGGUGGUAGUGCGAACGCAGUGUGGACGCCGUCCGCUCCCCGGGCCCCCAAGACCCCGGAUGUGGGGGUUCGGACACGCGGUCCGCCCGCUUUUGCGGCCAAAACCAGAGGACGCGCCUCCGUCCAUCUGACCCCGGGGGAUGCGGGUCACGACCUUUGCCCUGGACUCCCCUGGGGGACACACCAUCCCACGCCCUCUGACCCCAGAGCCCCCCGGAACCCGCUGGGGGGGGGGGCACCCAGGACGAGGGCAAGGGUCAUUCCUGUUUUAAGGCCCCUGCCACCCGGGUGGUCCCAGCGCCCCUGUGCACACGGCGCAAGCCUCCUCAUCGGGAACAAAUUCCUGUGAUUUCGGUGAAAAUGACUCGUGUUGGAGGCCCCGUUGGACGGGGACAGACCAGGAGGUGUCAUUUCCCGAAAUUUCUUUUUCGUGGGGUUAUUUCCGGGGCACCAAAAAACGUCCACCGAACCCCCCGAAAAAAUCACCCCCAGCGCCCCCUCCCUCCGCGUUUAAACGCCUUGAGCGGGAAACCAGACCGUGGACGCUCACCGUUAAGAAGAGAAGGCAACCAAUUCCUACUAGAGUGUGAAUGACUGAUAGCAGAUCCGCCCAGGUGAAGACGGGACGUCCGCAUUGAACAGAGGAUGUUUUUCCCCACGUCGGGGCCACCAAAGGGCACAGCUUCCAAGGAGAGGGGACGCGCCUUUCGGCCUGUCCAGUCCCUGGCCUCCCCUCCUCGGGCUUGAGCGUUUGUUGAGUGACUGCCAGACCUCAGGGAGACGCUUUACACAGAUCCACGGGGUGCGAGGCUGGAGACGCGGGUGACCCCAAUGCCACCACCAGGGUCCCUCGAAGAGCGGGGAGCGGGAGGGUCCGCAGCCCUGACCUCAUAGAUUGGGGUCAAAUCUCUAAGCUUUGGGCCUUUUUUCCGGCCCCCCAUCGGGAAGCCUCUUGGCCAAACUUCACAUUUAUUUUUUUAAUAAAAAGUAGAAAAAUAGCUGCA